UGGGGAAUAUUGCACAAUGGGCGCAAGCCUGAUGCAGCCAUGCCGCGUGUGUGAAGAAGGCCUUCGGGUUGUAAAGCACUUUCAGCGAGGAGGAAGGUGGUGAGCUUAAUACGCUCAUCAAUUGACGUUACUCGCAGAAGAAGCACCGGCUAACUCCGUGCCAGCAGCCGCGGUAAUACGGAGGGUGCAAGCGUUAAUCGGAAUUACUGGGCGUAAAGCGCACGCAGGCGGUUUGUUAAGUCAGAUGUGAAAUCCCCGGGCUCAACCUGGGAACUGCAUUUGAAACUGGCAAGCUAGAGUCUCGUAGAGGGGGGUAGAAUUCCAGGUGUAGCGGUGAAAUGCGUAGAGAUCUGGAGGAAUACCGGUGGCGAAGGCGGCCCCCUGGACGAAGACUGACGCUCAGGUGCGAAAAGCGUGGGGAGCAAAACAGGAUUAGAUACCCUGGUAGUCCACGCUGUAAACGAUGUCGAUUUUGGAGGUUGUGCCCUUGAGGCGUGGCUUCCGGAGCUAACGCGUUAAAUCGACCGCCUGGGGAGUACGGCCGCAAGGUU
Molecule: ribosomal RNA, 551 nt
Filed under: uncultured bacterium
Lineage: Bacteria
Description: partial 16S ribosomal RNA
Rfam family: Bacterial small subunit ribosomal RNA
Source: RNAcentral